GUACGCUCACACUCCCAAUCGCAUUGGAUUGGGAGCGGUGGACUUGGGUGUUGCUGCUUGACUGUGGCUCACCUGAAAUAUGUUAGUGCACCUCUUGAUUGGACAUAGUACGGCGUGAUAAGUGUCUUCGCUGGCUCCUCACAAAGAGGGUGGCUGAUCAGGAGCUCUGUUGCAGCAAACUGUCUUCGGACAAUCUUCUGGCG
RNAcentral lists this unclassified non-coding RNA (203 nucleotides) under uncultured Sebacina. RNAcentral's name for it is "sequence contains ITS2". The record is from RNAcentral. Lineage: Eukaryota; Fungi; Basidiomycota; Agaricomycetes; Sebacinales; Sebacinaceae.